UACGUAGGGUGCUAGCGUUAUCCGGAAUUAUUGGGCGUAAAGCGCGCGCAGGUGGUCUUUUAAGUCUGAUGUGAAAGCCCCCGGCUCAACCGGGGAGGGUCAUUGGAAACUGGAAGACUUGAGUGCAGGAGAGGAAAGUGGAAUUCUCAGUGUAGCGGUGAAAUGCGUAGAUAUUGAGAAGAACACCAGUAGCGAAGGCGGCUUUCUGGACUGUAACUGACACUGAGGCACGAAAGCGUGGGUAGCAAACAGG
Molecule: ribosomal RNA, 253 nt
Filed under: uncultured bacterium
Lineage: Bacteria
Description: partial 16S ribosomal RNA
Rfam family: Bacterial small subunit ribosomal RNA
Source: RNAcentral